Molecule: transfer RNA, 77 nt
Filed under: Alphaproteobacteria bacterium
Lineage: Bacteria; Pseudomonadati; Pseudomonadota; Alphaproteobacteria
Also listed under: 1 other name
Description: tRNA-Pro
Rfam family: tRNA
About the family: Transfer RNA (tRNA) molecules are approximately 80 nucleotides in length. Their secondary structure includes four short double-helical elements and three loops (D, anti-codon, and T loops).
Source: RNAcentral
CGGAUUGUAGUUCAGCCUGGUAGAACGCUUCGUUCGGGUCGAAGAGGUCGCUGGUUCGAGUCCAGUCAAUCCGACCA